Molecule: long non-coding RNA, 4469 nt
Organism: Macrobrachium nipponense
Lineage: Eukaryota; Metazoa; Arthropoda; Malacostraca; Decapoda; Palaemonidae
Exons: 2
Source: RefSeq, a predicted model, not a curated record
CAGUUAUCCGAGUCGUAUCGGAGUCGGUGGCAGCCGGGUGGCUCACUGAGUCCAAGGUAUAUGAAUAAGGUCGUCCCUUGUAUCCACAGUCACUGGACACGUCCCUCAAUGUGCAAAACUUGCUUAUUUGGAUUACAUAAAAAGAUUGCACGUUAUAGAAAAGUGCAUUGCCGUUUUGUGUUGUCUCUGACUUUUACCUUCCAUUUUAUGUUCUGCCUAAAAAAAGAAAAAAAAAAAACUUGCAUUACGUACGUUACGUUUACUGUUCUCCCGCGGACGUGCUUUCUUGAAACGUGGUUGCCAGACGCUUAAUUAAAACAUCAACGUUGUUCUUUAAAUUCUCUCAAAACUACACAUUCUUUGGAAGUAUUGCAUACUUACCUGAAUUAUGUACAGUAUUUUAGAAUUAGACAAAUUUUCACAUGAAAAACUAUUUCACGUUAGUUUAGGCAAAUUUAUUGCUAUCUGGCAACUAUUGUUGCAUGCGCUGACUUUAGUCAUCUGAGUUCACAGCUGUAGCAGAAGUGAAGAACACAACCUACUAAACUUCCGCUUAAGACAAACCUACUCUGUUCUCUUCUUCAGAUUUACCACUUACCGUUCUCAAACGUACCUAACAUCCAAGAACCAUCUUUAUAGUAUUCUUCAAGAAUGUGACUCGUGCAAAAUAAGGCUAAAUCUUGGCCAAAGGUUGUGAAAUACAGUGAGGCUCGAUCGUGAAAGCGAUUUCGAAAUCCGGCGAAAAUGUUUAAGUGUUUGCAUUAUAAGAUGGUAGCUGCCAUUGCGGUUACUGUUGCAGUGUUGCUGAUCAUGUUAUUCUGCUAUGUUCCCUCAUUGCAGUAUCCCAGAAUCAUCUUCACUACCGUAUUUUGUUAUUUUACCUCCCUGCUAAUCUUGUCCUGUUGUCUUGAUUCGGGACGACCUCCCUUAGAAGACCGCUUCUGCACGUCUUCCGAAAAGGAAGAGGAAACCACCAGUGAUCCCCCAAAAUAUGAGGAUGUUGUGGCCCAGGAAACAUCCAGGACAAUACUCUUGGAGGAUGAGCAGAAUGAUGUGCUCGAUAGUAAUGUAAACUCUACGUAUCAAGAGCCCCCUCCACCCUACCAUGAGGCAGUAAUCGGACCUAUUGUAGACAAUGAAGAAGUUUCGAGUAGUACUAUGUAGUUUAAAGUGAGCAGUGAGAGAAGAUUGCAUAGUACAGGUAGUCCCCGGUUAUAGGCUGGGGUUCCAUUUUCAGCAGGGUGCCUAAAAGCGGAAACCCCCAUUAACCAAAACUUGGUGAUUUAUGGCGCUUAUGGUGCAAAUAUCCAGUCAACGGCGCCAAUAACUGGUCAGUGGUGCCAAUAACAGAUUAAUGGUGUCUCCUUUAGGUAUGUUAUGGUGCCAUAACUCUAUUAUUGGCACCUUAUGGCGCCGAUAACCGGAACUCAGCUCAUUAUGGCGCCAUAAAUCACCGAUUUGUCUAGCACCAUGAAACCGGAUUGCCAUUAACCGAGUCCGCUUAUAACGUAGGACUGCCUGUAUUAUGUUUUAUAGUAUUUAUCUGUGAUGAUUUUACAUUAAAAUUAACUCAGAAAGAGGCAUUAAGAUUGUAUCAUCCAAUUUAGAAAAAACUUUGACAUUAUGCUUCAGUUGUGAAUUUACUUAAAUUGUCAAAAAGACUGACUGUCAUACCUGUAAAUGGGUCUAUGAUUUAUUUUUAUUUAUUUUUUUACAACAGUGGACAGAUUUCUUAGAUGCCCUUUUGCAUGAUAUCGCAUAAAAGUAUACAGGUAAACAUUUACUUAGAAAUCUAAAAAGCUUUCUAGUCUUCCUUGACUAUCAUGAGAAUUGUAGUACGUAUUGCAAUUUAUUAAGAGUUUAGGCUUUGAUUCCAAUUGAAUCACAAUUAAGUACUUGUGUAGUAAAUGGCUAUAAUUAAAGAUCAGUUACAAUGUUUAGUACUGUGAUGGCUGUGAAAAAAUCUGACAGUACAUGGCAGAAUUUGUCAUAUUUAUUAUUGUAUUUUGAUUGCUGUCAGCUCUGCUUAGGAAUUAGUUAAUUUGGUUCUGUAGUGAACAGUUUCAGGCAUUCACCUAUUUUCAUCUUAGGGUUGCCUUUUCAGACACAUUUUAUUAUUGCAGGAAAAGGUUGAGUUUAGUUUUAACUCUUUAGUUGUGUCAUUGAAUCUCAUGUUUUGAGCUCUUCUUUGCUUAUGAAGUAGGGAAUGAAACAUUUCUUUCACUUAUUGUAUAUGUAUUAAGUUUCAAUUGGUGCUGACAAAUGGUGGACUCAAUAAAUGGGAAAAUCAACUUGUUGAAAAUUAGUGAGGUGUAAUGUCACUGAGAGUCUGAACUGUAAUUAGAUGUUAAGGUUAUGCUGGUUUGACGUUCGGCUAGGAAAAAUGCAACUUCAUAAAUCUACAUACAGGCAGUCCCCGUGUUGCGUUGUGGGUUCCAUUCUGAUGCCACGCUGUAACCUGGAAAACGAUGUAACCUAGAGUGUCACAAGAAGAAUUUAUAAAAAUGAGAAAUAAAGGGAUGAAAGCCUCUGUUUGUACAGCAAAUUGUAAAUUUAAGUACUGCUCUAUACUUUAUUUAGGCAGUUUAGAUGCAUAGAUAGAGUAAUUUAACAUUGUGUGUAUUUUGUACCAGGUUCAAUCAUAUCUUGUAUAGCAUAAAAGGCAUUCUUAUGUGAAAUAACUUUGAUAUGUGUUUGUGUUGUGCAGAAAUAUAGAAGAAAUGCUCAUUACUGCCCCCCCCCCCCUUUCCCUCUUGAAUAGUAACUUUCAUAUACUAUAUGUGAAAGUUAUUACUGGUAUUGCAGUACAUACUGUUUACUGUUAGUCCAACAACAUGUUGAACAUCAUGACAGGUGUUUUGUAGCAUACAUGAUUUUUUAUCAACGAAUCAUAAUUGUGAUAGUUUUCUCUGUUUCUUCACUACUUGUAUGUAUAUGCAGUGAUAUGCAGUUAAAGACUGUGAAAUGUAACUUCAUUUUCUGUUUAAAAUCAUCAUAAUAAUGUGUAUAACCACAUGCACAUUCAGUUGUCGGUAUGUAAUCAUAUUCACACAUAGUGUUAGUAUUUUAUGAAGAUAAAUGUUAUCUUAAUGAUAUUCAGAGAAUCUAGUCAGUAAAGACAAGAAUUAGUGCAAAUUUUCAAAGGUUAGUUGCAAAUAAUCUGUUAGGUCUGCCAUAUGUAAUGCAUUGAUAAAUUAGGAAACUAGAAUUUCUUUGAAUUCAUUAAGUCAUUAGCCUAUAGAUGUAUGUUUAAUUGACUUAAUUAUUUGUGCAAUUGUAUGCUUUACAGGAAUUAUCAAAAACUAUACAAAUCAAAGCUAGACCAUCAAACCAGUGGUUGAUAGUGUUGCUUCAUUGUAAGAAACUAUGAUGGUUUUUUGUAUUCUUUCUUCUAGUGUUGUAAGCUAGUCAGGGAUAUUAAAUAAUGGUUGUAAGACAACACUUAGUAGUAUUGGGACAUUCAUAAAAGACAUAAUUUAUCACACAGUUAGGACUAGCUAAUAUUUUGUAAGCUGUUAGGUAAACAGUCAUACUUUUUCUGUUGUGGGGUCAGUGCCCUGGAGUGUUCUGGAGGUUAUAUGAAUAUUUUGACCAAAUAUCGUAAGUUUAGACAGCAAUGCAGUGCUAUGAUAGAUGCUCAUAGAUGUAUUUUGUGAAAUUUUUUGUAUCUUGUCACUAAAUUUUUUGUAAAUGAGUGGCUCAAAUUAUUCAAUAUUGUAUGUUUUUUUAUAAUUUGCCUUUUAUUUUGUAAAUUCCAUAAACAUAUGGUGUAAUUUACCGUAAAACAAAUUAACUAACAUAUCGUGUCUUUUUUGACGAAAAUCAAGUGGAUAACAUGCAUGUGACACUGAUAAAAUGAAGCUUGUCUUUUGUCACUUAUGCACACAGUUUAGUAUUAGCUUGCUAGCCAACCCUUUGGCACAUUGGUUACUGUCAUGAGCAUAUUCCCUUAUUGUGAACAAGAGUAAUAAGUUAAUUAUGAUGGUUUAUCAAGAUGGUUAAAAUACAUCAUUUUUAUUGAGGUGCAGUAGUGUAACAGAAAUCCAGAUGCCCAGGUAUCUGCUUAAAGCAAAAUGGCUCCUAUGUACUGAGAUAUUUUUGUUUAAUUUUAGCCUGUUGGGUUACUAUUGGCCAGAAAUUGGAUGGAUGGAUGGAUUAUGAAAUUUAGGGACAAGCCCAAGCACUGGGACCUAUUAUGGUCAUUCAGCGCCGUAAUGGAAUGAAAUAUAUAAUCUGAUAAUUAAUGAAAUGUAAUUGAACGUGAUGAUAAUCUCAUGUGAAUGAAACUUAAAAACCUUAUUUCAUUAAAAAAAAUUAUGUUUUUUUUAUAUUGAAAUACAAUUAAAAGUAUAACUGCAUAUGUACUGAGAUAUUUUUAUUUAAUUUUAGCCUGUUGGGUUACUAUUGGCCAGAAAUUGUACAUCUUUUAAGAAAAACAUUGAGAAGAUAAAAAUAAAAUAUCAUAACAA